Molecule: long non-coding RNA, 447 nt
Organism: Hyaena hyaena (striped hyena)
Lineage: Eukaryota; Metazoa; Chordata; Mammalia; Carnivora; Hyaenidae
Exons: 2
Source: RefSeq, a predicted model, not a curated record
CGAGGGACGAGCUGCGCGGUGAUUGGCUGCAGAGCUGCCUCAGGUGAGCUGCCAUUGGCAGAGGCGCGCUCAGGUGCCUUACUCCUGCCUUUCUUCAUGCCCGGUGUACAAGUCUCUGCUGUUUCUCCAGCUGGAGGUAAUCACCCGGCUGCAAGAAAUGGGACAGGAGACCUGAAGAUCUAACAACUCCAAAUGCCCACAUUCCCUCAGGCCCCAGUCUUUCCCCUCGUCCUCACUUCUGGGAUCCUGGGACCUCUCAUCAGCAUCUUCCUCUGAUGAUCUCUGGACCCAGGGCACUCUGAAUCGCAGUAGCAUAAUCUGGGCUUUUUCUGUACUGACCUCUAGGAUGACACGAGAAUGUAGCUUUUGCUGUUCUCUUAAGCCAGUUUCUACUGUUCCAUCCACCCAUCUUCCAGAAUUGUACUGAAAUAUAUCUUUUGCAGAUGA